GCCUGCGGUGGCUCAGUUGGAUAGAGCGUCUGCCAUGUAAGCAGGAGAUCCUGGGUUCGAGUCCCGGUCGGGGCA
This 75-nucleotide transfer RNA is filed under the name Schistocerca americana (American grasshopper). Its description in RNAcentral is "tRNA-Thr". It matches the Rfam family "tRNA". Rfam says of the family: Transfer RNA (tRNA) molecules are approximately 80 nucleotides in length. Lineage: Eukaryota; Metazoa; Arthropoda; Insecta; Orthoptera; Acrididae. The record is from RNAcentral.